This 433-nucleotide ribosomal RNA is filed under the name uncultured bacterium. Its description in RNAcentral is "partial 16S ribosomal RNA". It matches the Rfam family "Bacterial small subunit ribosomal RNA", at positions 29 to 507 of the family's 1533-position model. The record is from RNAcentral.
AACGAACGCUGGCGGCAUGCCUAACACAUGCAAGUCGAACGAGACCUUCGGGUCUAGUGGCGCACGGGUGCGUAACGCGUGGGAACCUGCCCUUAGGUUCGGAAUAACUCCCCGAAAGGGGUGCUAAUACCGGAUAAUGUCUUCGGACCAAAGAUUUAUCGCCUUUGGAUGGGCCCGCGUUGGAUUAGCUAGUUGGUAGGGUAAAAGCCUACCAAGGCGACGAUCCAUAGCUGGUCUGAGAGGCUGAUCAGCCACACUGGGACUGAGACACGGCCCAGACUCCUACGGGAGGCAGCAGUGGGGAAUAUUGGACAAUGGGCGAAAGCCUGAUCCAGCAAUGCCGCGUGAGCUAUGAAGGCCUUAGGGUUGUAAAGCUCUUUUACCCGGGAUGAUAAUGACGGUACCGGGAGAAUAAGCUCCGGCUAACUCCGUG